GUGAACGCUGGCGGUAGGCCUAACCCAUGCAAGUCGAACGGCAGCACAGUAAGAGCUUGCUCUUACGGGUGGCGAGUGGCGGACGGGUGAGGAAUACAUCGGAAUCUACUUUUUCGUGGGGGAUAACGUAGGGAAACUUACGCUAAUACCGCAUACGACCUACGGGUGAAAGCCGGGGAUCUUCGGACCUUGCGCGAUUGAAUGAGCCGAUGUCGGAUUAGCUAGUUGGCGGGGUAAAGGCCCACCAAGGCGACGAUCCGUAGCUGGUCUGAGAGGAUGAUCAGCCACACUGGAACUGAGACACGGUCCAGACUCCUACGGGAGGCAGCAGUGGGGAAUAUUGGACAAUGGGCGCAAGCCUGAUCCAGCCAUACCGCGUGGGUGAAGAAGGCCUUCGGGUUGUAAAGCCCUUUUGUUGGGAAAGAAAAGCAGCAGGUUAAUACCCCGCUGUUCUGACGGUACCCAAAGAAUAAGCACCGGCUAACUUCGUG
RNAcentral lists this ribosomal RNA (491 nucleotides) under uncultured bacterium. Its description in RNAcentral is "partial 16S ribosomal RNA". It matches the Rfam family "Bacterial small subunit ribosomal RNA", at positions 29 to 507 of the family's 1533-position model. The record is from RNAcentral.